This 442-nucleotide ribosomal RNA is filed under the name uncultured bacterium. Its description in RNAcentral is "bacterial SSU rRNA". It matches the Rfam family "Bacterial small subunit ribosomal RNA", at positions 348 to 782 of the family's 1533-position model. The record is from RNAcentral.
GCAGCAGUGGGGAAUUUUGGACAAUGGGCGCAAGCCUGAUCCAGCCAUUCCGCGUGAGUGAAGAAGGCCUUCGGGUUGUAAAGCUCUUUCGCAAGGGAAGAAAACUUAUCCUCUAACAUAGGAUGAGGUUGACGGUACCUUGAUAAGAAGCACCGGCUAACUACGUGCCAGCAGCCGCGGUAAUACGUAGGGUGCGAGCGUUAAUCGGAAUUACUGGGCGUAAAGCGUGCGCAGGCUGUUUUGUAAGUCAGAUGUGAAAUCCCUGAGCUCAACUUAGGAACUGCGUUUGAAACUACAAGACUAGAAUAUGUCAGAGGGGGGUAGAAUUCCACGUGUAGCAGUGAAAUGCGUAGAGAUGUGGAGGAAUACCAAUGGCGAAGGCAGCCCCCUGGGAUAAUAUUGACGCUCAUGCACGAAAGCGUGGGGAGCAAACAGGAUUAGA